RNAcentral lists this ribosomal RNA (253 nucleotides) under uncultured bacterium. RNAcentral describes it as "partial 16S ribosomal RNA". It matches the Rfam family "Bacterial small subunit ribosomal RNA", at positions 524 to 776 of the family's 1533-position model. The record is from RNAcentral.
UACGUAGGGGGCGAGCGUUGUCCGGAAUUAUUGGGCGUAAAGCGCGUGUAGGCGGGUUUUUAAGUCGGGUGUGAAAACUCUGGGCUCAACCCAGAGACUGCAUCCGAAACUGGAGACCUUGAGGGCGGGAGAGGAAAGUGGAAUUCCUAGUGUAGCGGUGAAAUGCGUAGAUAUUAGGAGGAACACCAGUGGCGAAGGCGACUUUCUGGCCCGAACCUGACGCUGAGACGCGAAAGCGUGGGGAGCAAACAGG